UUCUUCUKGGGSUUKAUUWGAAGUAGGCCCUGCCCGGUGUUCUGAGGAAUAAACGGCGGCGUUAGCGUGAUCGUCCUAAGGUAGCGCGAUAAUUUGCCCUUUAAUAGAGGGAUGGUAUGAAUGGGUUAACGUGGGGUUAGCUGUGUCGUACAGGUUUGUUUAAAUUAAUCUCAACGUGAAGAAGCGUUGAUAAUGUAGAAGGACGACAAGACCCUAUGAAGCUUGACUUAAACAGUAGUAAGUUAUCUUUAUGCAAAAGUUUUGAUGGGGCAUCAGCCUUAGUAGGUGUAAGGUAUCUAUAGUAUUUCUUACGGGAGUAUUCUGAAUAUUUCAGAGUUGAUUAGCUACUCUAGGGAUAACAGCACAAUUUCUCUUUAUAGAAGCUAUUGAUAGGGAAGUUUGUGACCUCGAUGUUGGCUUUGGAUUACCUAAAGGUGGAGAGACUUUUACGGCGGGUCUGUUCGACCUUUAAUUUCCA
This 478-nucleotide ribosomal RNA is filed under the name Musculus discors (discordant mussel). RNAcentral describes it as "partial 16S ribosomal RNA". It matches the Rfam family "Bacterial large subunit ribosomal RNA", at positions 1830 to 2597 of the family's 2925-position model. Lineage: Eukaryota; Metazoa; Mollusca; Bivalvia; Mytilida; Mytilidae. The record is from RNAcentral.